CCUACGGGAGGCAGCAGUGAGGAAUAUUGGGCAAUGGGCGCAAGCCUGACCCAGCCAUGCCGCGUGAAGGAUGAAUGCCCUAUGGGUUGUAAACUUCUUUUGUACGGGACGAAACUCCUGGUCGUGACCGGGAUUGACUGUACCGUACGAAUAAGCAUCGGCUAACUCCGUGCCAGCAGCCGCGGUAAUACGGAGGAUGCAAGCGUUAUCCGGAUUCAUUGGGUUUAAAGGGUGCGUAGGCGGAAUAGUAAGUCAGUGGUGAAAGCCUGCGGCUUAACCGUAGAAAUGCCAUUGAUACUGUUAUUCUUGAGUAUAGUUGAGGUGGGCGGAAUGUGUAAUGUAGCGGUGAAAUGCUUAGAUAUUACACAGAACACCAAUUGCGAAGGCAGCUCACUAAGCUGUUACUGACGCUGAGGCACGAAAGCGUGGGGAGCAAACAGGAUUAGAUACCCUGGUAGUCCACGCCGUAAACGAUGAUCACUCGUUGUUGGCGAUACACCGUCAGCGACUGAGCGAAAGCAAUAAGUGAUCCACCUGGGGAGUACGGCGGCAACGCUGAAACUCAAAGGAAUUGACGG
RNAcentral lists this ribosomal RNA (578 nucleotides) under uncultured bacterium. RNAcentral's name for it is "bacterial SSU rRNA". It matches the Rfam family "Bacterial small subunit ribosomal RNA", at positions 338 to 916 of the family's 1533-position model. The record is from RNAcentral.